This is a small nucleolar RNA of Heterocephalus glaber (naked mole-rat), 107 nucleotides long. Lineage: Eukaryota; Metazoa; Chordata; Mammalia; Rodentia; Bathyergidae. The record is from Ensembl.
UUCUUUUUUCUUUUCAUCAACCAUGAUGAUUGAGUGUUCCUGCCAUUGUGUGAGAUGUGCCUCCCUCUAAACCUUGUAACGUAAGUCAGCACAUUACCCAGUUGAUG